This is a long non-coding RNA of Empidonax traillii (willow flycatcher), 1162 nucleotides long. RefSeq lists it as uncharacterized. The transcript has 3 exons. The record is from RefSeq and is a predicted model, not a curated record. NCBI's taxonomy places the organism in Eukaryota, Metazoa, Chordata, Aves, Passeriformes, Tyrannidae.
CCCCCCUCCCCCCCUCGCCCCCUCCUUUCCCCCCCAAAAAAAAAAAAAAACAACCCGACCUCCUCCCAGCGCACCAAGGAACGAUGAAAAAAAAUAAUUCUGCGAAAAGGGGGCACCAGGAUGGAAACCAGCAACCUGCGCAGCCGGAGAAGGUCGGCUGGGUGCGGAAAUUUUGCGGGAAAGGCAUUUUUAGGGAGAUCUGGAAAAACCGUUAUGUGGUUCUGAAGGGAGAUCAGCUUUACAUCUCGGAGAAGGAGCCGAGCUCUGCUGGGAGACAUUUUCCCAGCCUGGAGGCACGAAAGGAUUCACUUAGCGAGAGUUAAGCCCCUCAGCCCUCUUCCUGCCGCGGCGACAGCAAUGCCUUCUGUGCCUGUCCUCCCUCGCCGAGCCCGGCAGUGCCUCGUUCCCAGCUGCUCGCCGCCCAUUUGGAAAUAACUCCGCUCUCCCGGCUGGAAUCGAGCCAUUUACGGGUCGAUCUCUGCUAUUUUUCCCCGGCGCCGAGAGGACAACGGGGAGAUUUUUCCCCCCCGGGUUCCACCACACCGUGUUGCACAACGUGCCCCCUCCGCUCCCCCUCCUCCGUCUCCUGGCCGGGGUUUGGGGUUUAAGGUGAUGUUGACACCAGAGGUAAUCGGAUGUGACUGCCGGGCUGAGCCGACACACCCGGCUGUCCUUGCACGGCCCGCCCCGCUCUUUUUGUCUCCAUAAAUCCAUCGGGGAGAACUCCCCAUCCAGGGCCCUCCAAAUCCAUCGGGGAGAACUCCCCACCCAGGGCCCUCCAAAUCCAUCAGGGAGAACUCCCCACCCAGGGCCCUCCAAAUCCAUCGGGGAGAACUCCCCACCCAGGGCCCUCCUCCCUCGGGUCCCCUCUGACACCCCGGAGCUGCACCGGUGCCCACAGCAGGCACAGGGGCUGCUCCAGGUCAGGGAAUUCGGGGUAACACCCCAGUCUGGCUGGGUUCCCCUCAGGGGGGGACAUUCCCUGCUGGAUGCAGGGCUGCCUGGCCCAGCUCAGGAUCUGGAGAGUGGCAGGGGCCACUUGGUUUAGGGCUGGUGGAGUCGUGGGCACGGCACACGCGGAGGCAUCAAGGGUUGUUGGAGCACAGAAAUGGUCUAAGAAGUGGACUGAGUGCCCAGGUGGAGCUGAGCUGUGUGCUGGAAU